UAAAACUGUUUUUCUUGAGUAUCGGAGAGGAAAGUGGAAUUCCUAGUGUAGCGGUGAAAUGCGUAGAUAUUAGGAGGAACACCAGUGGCGAAGGCGACUUUCUGGACGACAACUGACGUUGAGGCACGAAAGUGUGGGGAGCAAACAGGAUUAGAUACCCUGGUAGUCCACACCGUAAACGAUGGAUACUAGGUGUAGGAUGUAUUAAGCAUUCUGUGCCGCCGCUAACGCAUUAAGUAUCCCACCUGGGGAGUACGACCGCAAGGUUGAAACUCAAAGGAAUUGACGGGGGCCCGCACAAGCAGUGGAGUAUGUGGUUUAAUUCGAAGCAACGCGAAGAACCUUACCAGGGCUUGACAUAUACAGGAAUAACUAAGAGAUUAGUUAGUUCUUCGGAACUUGUAUACAGGUGGUGCAUGGUUGUCGUCAGCUCGUGUCGUGAGAUGUUGGGUUAAGUCCCGCAACGAGCGCAACCCCUGUGAUUAGUUGCCAGCACAUAAUGGUGGGAACUCUAAUCAGACUGCCGGUGAUAAAUCGGAGGAAGGUGGGGAUGACGUCAAAUCAUCAUGCCCUUUAUGUCCUGGGCUACACACGUACUACAAUGGCCGCAACAGAGGGAAGCAAAAUAGUGAUAUGGAGCAAAACCCUAAAAACGGUCUCAGUUCGGAUUGAAGGCUGAAAUUCGCCUUCAUGAAGCUGGAAUUGCUAGUAAUGGCAGGUCAGCAUACUGCCGUGAAUACGUUCCCGGGCCUUGUACACACCGCCCGUCACACCAUGAGAGUUGGGAAUACCCGAAGCCUGUGAGUUAACUAUAUGAGGCAGCAGUCGAAGGUAGAAUCAAUGAUUGGGGUGAAGUCGUAACAAAGGUAGCCGUAAGCC
Molecule: ribosomal RNA, 879 nt
Filed under: uncultured bacterium
Lineage: Bacteria
Description: bacterial SSU rRNA
Rfam family: Bacterial small subunit ribosomal RNA
Source: RNAcentral